This 535-nucleotide ribosomal RNA is filed under the name Batrachocottus baicalensis. Its description in RNAcentral is "partial 16S ribosomal RNA". The stretch from base 189 to 535 matches the Rfam family "Bacterial large subunit ribosomal RNA", at positions 566 to 1040 of the family's 2925-position model. Lineage: Eukaryota; Metazoa; Chordata; Actinopteri; Perciformes; Cottidae. The record is from RNAcentral.
GCCCAACAGCUAGCCCACCUAAACAAACUCAACAAACCCCUGUUAAUAACCCCAAAUACCCUAGUAUUUAAAUUAAACAAACCAUUUUUCCCCCUUAGUAUAGGUGAUAGAAAAGGACAAACGGCGCAAUAGAGAAAGUACCGCAAGGGAACGCUGAAAGAGAAAUGAAACAACCCAGUGAAGCCUAAAAAAGCAGAGAUUAAAGCUCGUACCUUUUGCAUCAUGAUUUAGCAAGUGUACAUCAAGCAAAGUGAACUUUAGUUUGACGUCCCGAAACUACGUGAGCUACUCCAAGACAGCCUAUUAAUAGGGCGUACCCGUCUCUGUAGCAAAAGAGUGGGGAGAGCUUUGAGUAGAGGUGAUAAACCUACCGAACCUAGUUAUAGCUGGUUGUCCAGGAAAUGAAUAGAAGUUCAGCCUCUUGGCUUCUCUUUUCACACUAGUUUAACCCCUAUUGAUGCCUUAAAGAAACCAAGAGAGUUAGUCAAAGGGGGUACAGCCCCUUUGAAUCAAGACACAACUUUAUUAGGAGGGU